GGGGACGUAGCUCAGUCCGGGAGAGCGCCUGGAUCGCACCCAGGAGGUCGUGGGUUCGAUUCCCAUCGUCUCCACCA
RNAcentral lists this transfer RNA (77 nucleotides) under Planctomycetota bacterium. Its description in RNAcentral is "Planctomycetes bacterium (freshwater metagenome) tRNA-Ala". It matches the Rfam family "tRNA". From Rfam's summary of the family: Transfer RNA (tRNA) molecules are approximately 80 nucleotides in length. Their secondary structure includes four short double-helical elements and three loops (D, anti-codon, and T loops). The record is from RNAcentral. Lineage: Bacteria; Pseudomonadati; Planctomycetota.